Non-coding RNA from Podospora aff. communis PSN243, 102 nucleotides. The record is from the annotation of a GenBank genome assembly. NCBI's taxonomy places the organism in Eukaryota, Fungi, Ascomycota, Sordariomycetes, Sordariales, Podosporaceae.
GGCUCUGUGGUCUAGUGGUAUGAUUCGCGCUUCGGGAUUUGAAACUUCCCAUACUUUCAAAAUAUCUGUGCGAGGUCUCGGGUUCGAUCCCCGACAGAGCCC